Passer domesticus (house sparrow) is the source of this 347-nucleotide long non-coding RNA. RefSeq lists it as uncharacterized. The transcript has 3 exons. The record is from RefSeq and is a predicted model, not a curated record. Lineage: Eukaryota; Metazoa; Chordata; Aves; Passeriformes; Passeridae.
UGCUGGACAAGAUGGAAACCCAGCUGGAGUGGGAGUGCUGCGACCCGUGGAUGAAUCCAGAAUCCCUCAGGCAACACCUGCAUGAAAAAAGCUGCCCAAGAACAGAAACCUCUAGGCAAAAGCCUGGGAGAAGAUGCUGCAGGCAAUCACAUGCAAAGGAGGAGUUGUCCAAAGAAGAAAGUCUGCCCAAGAAAGAAUUGACCAUGGGGUAGCAGUGAAAAACAUCCUUGAUCAGGGCUGAAAAUAGCUGUGUUAUCAACGUUGAGGGCAGAUCAAUCUGUUAACAUUUUUGGAACACAUCAGUGGGGAAUCUAUGAAGAUAUCUUAAUAAGGCAUUUGCAAUCACA